This 264-nucleotide ribosomal RNA is filed under the name uncultured bacterium. RNAcentral's name for it is "partial 16S ribosomal RNA". It matches the Rfam family "Bacterial small subunit ribosomal RNA", at positions 92 to 354 of the family's 1533-position model. The record is from RNAcentral.
CGACCGGCGCACGGGUGAGUAACACGUAUGCAACCUGGCCGCCACAGGGGGAUAACCCGCGGAAACGCGGCCUAAUACCCCGUGACGCCACCGGAGGGCAUCCUCCGGUGGCCAAAGGAGCGAUCCGGUGGCGGAUGGGCAUGCGGCGCAUUAGCUAGACGGCGGGGUNACGGCCCACCGUGGCGACGAUGCGUAGGGGUUCUGAGAGGAAGGCCCCCCANACUGGGACUGAGACACGGCCCAGACUCCUACGGGAGGCAGCAG